RNAcentral lists this ribosomal RNA (207 nucleotides) under uncultured bacterium. RNAcentral's name for it is "partial 16S ribosomal RNA". It matches the Rfam family "Bacterial small subunit ribosomal RNA", at positions 568 to 774 of the family's 1533-position model. The record is from RNAcentral.
UCCGCAGGGGGCCGACUAAGUCUGAUGUGAAAUCCUACGGCUCAACCGUAGAAUUGCAUUGGAAACUGGAUGGCUAGAGUGUCGGAGAGGAGAGUGGAAUUCCUGGUGUAGCGGUGGAAUGCGUAGAUAUCAGGAGGAACAUCGAAAGCGAAGGCAGCUCUCUGGACGAUUACUGACCCUCAGGGACGAAAGCGUGGGUAGCAAACA